RNAcentral lists this ribosomal RNA (230 nucleotides) under uncultured bacterium. Its description in RNAcentral is "partial 16S ribosomal RNA". It matches the Rfam family "Bacterial small subunit ribosomal RNA", at positions 104 to 334 of the family's 1533-position model. The record is from RNAcentral.
CGGGGUGAGUAAUGUAUGGGGAGUUGCCUGAUGGCGGGGGAGUAACUACUGGAAACGGUAGCUAAUACCGCAUAAUGUCUGCGGACCAAAGCGGGGACCGUCCGGGCCUCGCGCCAUCAGAUGAACCCAUAUGGGAUUAGCUUGUAGGUAAGGUAACGGCUUACCUAGGCGACGAUCCCUAGCUGGUCUGAGAGGAUGAUCAGCCACACUGGGACUGAGACACGGCCCAG